Molecule: non-coding RNA, 48 nt
Organism: Schistosoma rodhaini
Lineage: Eukaryota; Metazoa; Platyhelminthes; Trematoda; Strigeidida; Schistosomatidae
Source: Rfam
AUCCAGCUGACGAGUCCCAAAUAGGACGAAAGACGAGUUAAACUGGAU